Molecule: ribosomal RNA, 468 nt
Filed under: uncultured bacterium
Lineage: Bacteria
Description: partial 16S ribosomal RNA
Rfam family: Bacterial small subunit ribosomal RNA
Source: RNAcentral
GACGAACGCUGGCGGCGUGCUUAACACAUGCAAGUCGAACGGAAAGGCCCUGCUUUUGUGGGGUGCUCGAGUGGCGAACGGGUGAGUAACACGUGAGUAACCUGCCCUUGACUUUGGGAUAACUUCAGGAAACUGGGGCUAAUACCGGAUAGGAGCUCCUGCUGCAUGGUGGGGGUUGGAAAGUUUCGGCGGUUGGGGAUGGACUCGCGGCUUAUCAGCUUGUUGGUGGGGUAGUGGCUUACCAAGGCUUUGACGGGUAGCCGGCCUGAGAGGGUGACCGGCAAAUUGGGGAGGGAGAUCGGCCCAGGCCCCCUGCGGGGGGCGGGGGGGGGGAAUAGGGCAAAGGGGGGGGAGCCCUGACCCAGCACCGCCGCGGGGGGGAUGGCGGCCUUGGGGUUGUAACCCGUUUGCGCCGGUGAGGAAGGGGGAGUGAGGGUAGUGGAAAAAAAAGCCCGGGCAAACUACGGG